AAUUAAAAAAAAAAAAAGAAUUAGUUUAAAAACUGCAAUAAAUGUUAUAAGUUAACAUGUCAAAUAAGAAAUUCUGUGAACAGUAUCCUUAACCCUGGCAGCAAUUAAAAUAUAUAAUAUCAAUCCUCUUUUAUAACAAAUUCCAAUUACAAGAAUAAAAAAAAUUAAAUAAAUUUAUAUCAUGCAAUACAAGUGUAUACAACAAAGCAUCACAUGUGUUCCAUGGAUCAUGAAACAAUUAUAAUUAGUACCAUCAUUGCUAUUUACGCCAGAAAUAAGCAAUGCCAGUGUUCCUUUCUCUAAAAUGUUAGUAAUCUUUGUGGAAAACCAAAUAAGUAGAGAGUAUUUAUAUCAAAGAAUCAAGUGACAAGUGAAAGUUAUAGAAGUACACAUUGCUUGAAACAACAGUGUGACUAUUGAUAUCUUUAAUUUCAGAAAAGUCAUGGUGAUUCUAUAAUUCUUAUCACUAUCACAGGAAGGAAUUUAGUUAGAAUAAUCUUACCAAGACACACGGAGUAUUAAAACUCACAAUCAUCAAGACAAAUCCGUCUUCACUAAUUUAAAAUGUAAAAGACAAUCAAGGCAUAUAAAAAAAAUAAAGUUAAUGAAUGACACAGAACAAAGUUGCUCUUAGCUAGCCUUAAAACCAACAUUCCAGGGACUCCCACCAAAGUCAAAUAAAGUUAAAAGUCACAACAACAAUCAUGCAAGAUAAUUACCUGAUAAGCAAGUUUAG
Molecule: unclassified non-coding RNA, 736 nt
Filed under: Hevea brasiliensis (rubber tree)
Lineage: Eukaryota; Viridiplantae; Streptophyta; Magnoliopsida; Malpighiales; Euphorbiaceae
Source: RNAcentral